RNAcentral lists this ribosomal RNA (460 nucleotides) under uncultured bacterium. Its description in RNAcentral is "partial 16S ribosomal RNA". It matches the Rfam family "Bacterial small subunit ribosomal RNA", at positions 338 to 795 of the family's 1533-position model. The record is from RNAcentral.
CCUACGGGAGGCUGCAGUGAGGAAUAUUGGUCAAUGGACGCGAGUCUGAACCAGCCAAGUAGCGUGAAGGAUGACUGCCCUACGGGUUGUAAACUUCUUUUAUAGGGGAAUAAAGGUAUCCACGUGUGGAUAUUUGCAUGUACCCUAUGAAUAAGCAUCGGCUAACUCCGUGCCAGCAGCCGCGGUAAUACGGAGGAUGCGAGCGUUAUCCGGAUUUAUUGGGUUUAAAGGGUGCGUAGGUGGGUUGUUAAGUCAGUGGUGAAAGUUUGUGGCUCAACCGUAAAAUUGCCGGUGAGACUGGCAGACUUGAGUGCAGUUGAGGUAGGAGGAAUUCGUGGUGGAGCGGUGAAAGGCUUAGAUAUCACGAAGAAAUCAGAGUGCGAAGGCAGCGUACUAAACUGCAACUGACAGUGAUGCUCGAAAGUGUGGGUAUCAAACAGGAUUAGAUACCCUAGUAGUC